Molecule: long non-coding RNA, 281 nt
Filed under: Setaria viridis
Lineage: Eukaryota; Viridiplantae; Streptophyta; Magnoliopsida; Poales; Poaceae
Description: long non-coding RNA (SVIR_LNC000836)
Source: RNAcentral
GAUGGGGCAUGAAGAGAUCAAUAAGAGAACUCAUAUUUAGUUUUAUUUUAUUAUGCCAAACAUAGUUACAAACAUGUAGUUAGAGAUCAUGUUUAUUUUAGCAGUACUCUGUUCAUUGUGUUAUUACUUUGGUUGAGACAUAUAUUUGAAGUUAAUGAAGGUUUGAGUUCUUAUAUGUGAUGAUGAAAUAUAUACUUAUGGCACAAUUAUUUUGUAACAACAAUUAAAUUUCUAGCUACAAAACGAAAUUAAAAAGGUGCUUGCCAAAAUGCCCUCGGUUC